This 395-nucleotide ribosomal RNA is filed under the name uncultured bacterium. RNAcentral describes it as "bacterial SSU rRNA". It matches the Rfam family "Bacterial small subunit ribosomal RNA", at positions 505 to 898 of the family's 1533-position model. The record is from RNAcentral.
GUGUCAGCAGCCGCGGUAAAACGUAGGUACCGAGCGUUAUCCGGAUUUACUGGGCGUAAAGCGUGUUCAGGCGGUCUAGCAAGUCGGGCAUGAAAUCUCUCGGCUCAACCGGGAGGGGUUGUCCGAUACUGCUGGGCUGGAGGGCAGCAGAGGGUGGUGGAAUUCCGGGUGUAGUGGUGAAAUGCGUAGAUAUCCGGAGGAACACCAGUGGCGAAGGCGGCCACCUGGGCUGUACCUGACGCUAACACACGAAAGCUAGGGGAGCGAACGGGAUUAGAAACCCCGGUAGUCCUAGCCGUAAACGAUGUUGACUAGGUGUCGACGGUCUAAACCCCGCCGGUGCCGGAGCUAACGCACGAAGUCAACCGCCUGGGGACUACGGCCGCAAGGUUAAA